RNAcentral lists this ribosomal RNA (866 nucleotides) under uncultured Chloroflexota bacterium. RNAcentral's name for it is "bacterial SSU rRNA". It matches the Rfam family "Bacterial small subunit ribosomal RNA", at positions 40 to 916 of the family's 1533-position model. Lineage: Bacteria; Bacillati; Chloroflexota. The record is from RNAcentral.
CCAUGCGCAGCUAUAAUGCAGUCGACGAAGAGUCUUUGUAGCAAUACGGAGGCUUCUUAGUGGCGAACGGGUGCGUAACGCGUUGGUGACCUGCCCCGAAGUGUGGGAUAACAGUUCGAAAGGACUGCUAAUACCGCAUGUGGACACGAGGGCUAGAGGCUUUGUGUUUAAAGCAGUAAUGCGCUUCGGGAGGGACCUGCGUCCCAUCAGCUAGUUGGUGAGGUAACGGCCCACCAAGGCUACGACGGGUAGGGGACCUGAGAGGGUGGUCCCCCACACUGGCACUGAAACACGGGCCAGACACCUACGGGUGGCAGCAGUAGGGAAUAUUGGGCAAUGGGCGAAAGCCUGACCCAGCAACGCCGCGUGCAUGAUGAAGGUCUUCGGAUCGUAAAAUGCUUUUCUGAGAGAUGAGAAAGGACAGUAUCUCAGGAAUAAGUCUCGGCUAACUACGUGCCAGCAGCCGCGGUAAAACGUAGGAGGCAAGCGUUAUCCGGAUUUACUGGGCGUAAAGCGCGUACAGGCGGUUUGGUAAGUUGGAUGUGAAAGCUCCUGGCUCAACUGGGAGAGGUCGUUCAAUACUACCAGACUAGAGAGCGGUAGAGGGAGGUGGAAUUCCCGGUGUAGUGGUGAAAUGCGUAGAUAUCGGGAGGAACACCAGUGGCGAAAGCGGCCUCCUGGACUGUUUCUGACGCUCAGACGCGAAAGCUAGGGUAGCAAACGGGAUUAGAGACCCCGGUAGUCCUAGCUGUAAACGAUGUGAACUUGGCGUCGGUGGUGUAAAAACCAUCGGUGCCGAAGCCAACGCGAUAAGUUCACCGCCUGGGGACUACGGCCGCAAGGUUAAAACUCAAAGGAAUUGACGG